UUGUCUCUGCAAAAGAGGAAAAUAGGUAAAAUGAGGCAAUCAGACCUCUACAAGUAGAAUCAGAUGAGCGAGUUCCUGAUGAUGAUCUAGAAUUGUCUCUUACUUUUCAGUAUUCUAUCUUACACAUAUUUUUGUUUCGACUUUUUUAUAGGCAAAAAUAUGGUGCGAAGUUAAUGUAGAUAUAAACAAGCGGACAGUGAUCCAUCAAGAUUGCUAUCCUAAGGUGCGAACCUUUUGUUUCCUUAAUUUUUUUGUCCAAACGUCUAAGCUUAUUGCUUAUUAUUGGGGUUCAACUGAUACCACUUUUCCUUGGGUGCACCAAAAAAAGGAGAAAAAUAUAUAUAAAUCUGGUGCUUAGGCAAUUAAUAAAUGGUGUUUAACAGUACAACCAAUGUCUGAUGGUCUCCUAUGAUACACAACCCUAUGAGUUUUAAUCAUGUACUACCUUUGUCCAACUUUAUGUGUCUCCUUUCUUUGAGUAUGUUCAUCAUUGAUGCAUUUAAAGGCAUUCCAAAAACAUAUUUAUGUAAUUUAUAUUUGAAGUGUUUUUACAUCCGCAGUGCAUUUAUAUGUUAUUUUCACGUAUAUAUUACUCAUUAAAAAAAGUAUGCAGAAUACAAUCUAUAAAUUUGUUUCCAUGGCAUCUUAAAAUUGAGCCCAAGAAAGGAUACAAGUAAAGUUGGAUGAAGUCUUUUUUUCUUCUUAUGGGGUAAAAGGAGUAUUUGUUUUGGAAGUAAUAUUUUUUGUUAUUACUACCUAUCAACCAUUAACUAGCACACAUGAAUUUAGUUCCAUAAGAAAGUUGCAGCAGCGCAGUAUCUAGUUAAUAUGUUAGUAGGAGAGGUCUAGUUGCAACAGAAAAUUGGCUUCUGCUUCCCAAUUUCAUUCCAUCUUGCCUUAAGUUUUAUGAAGAGCAUGUCCCCCCUCCACAAUUGGGUGUAGUACUAUUUUAUUUAAGUGCUGCAAGAAUUGCUGGUUGUGUUCUAACAUGUCAUUCCAGUCUAUAAUGGCUGUGAUUGGUAACUGAGUUGCUUAUGAUAUGUAUGGGAGUUGGAUGGUUCCCCAAGCAAUUGUACAUGUGCCUAUGUUUUUACUAUAUUAGAUUCAUUUGCAACAUGGUAUAUACUUUAUUCAUUUGAAACAGUACUUAUGCGGGUAGAGUUUCUUUUCUAAUUGAAGUACUUGUAUUCAUUAUGCAGUGACUGUUGUACAUAUUGUAGAAGCUAGAGAUGGUCCUAAAGAUGAGGUGAAAGCCGAAGAAUGGUUUUAUGCAAGAGGUAAUACCAUUUGAUCCUGUCAGCUGUCACUCCAUGUUCUUGAUUGCUCACUGCGUGGAAUCUUGCUUAUAGAUUGAUGCAUGCUGCUAUUGUUAAGAUGUGAUUGACAAGGAUGAUAUACUCUUUAACAAUAGUGAAAUAUCUGUGUCAUUUGUUUCUCAAUAUGCUCAAUAGAAUUAGUUAUUGAGGAAUAUUAAAUACAAUACAUAUCACAAGAUUCUUGCUUUAAGAUGAAUAAUUAUCAUUCACGAUAGAUUUCUAUAAUAGAUCUCUAGCUUGAUAUUGGGUUUCAUGUGGCAAAAAUUUAGUCCUCAAGACCCUUAAGUAAUGAAGUAGUUGGUUUCAUGCCUUGUAUAUGUCUACCAAUCUGGUGUGCAAUUCUAUUUAAAAAGGUAGUUUUUUUAUGUAUAUGUACGG
Molecule: long non-coding RNA, 1694 nt
Filed under: Panax ginseng (ginseng)
Lineage: Eukaryota; Viridiplantae; Streptophyta; Magnoliopsida; Apiales; Araliaceae
Description: long non-coding RNA (PGIN_LNC018793)
Source: RNAcentral